This is a long non-coding RNA of Frankliniella occidentalis (western flower thrips), 968 nucleotides long. RefSeq lists it as uncharacterized. NCBI's taxonomy places the organism in Eukaryota, Metazoa, Arthropoda, Insecta, Thysanoptera, Thripidae. The record is from RefSeq and is a predicted model, not a curated record. The transcript is spliced from 2 exons.
ACAUAAAUACCGCCCCUCGCGCGUUUCGGCCGCAAGGUGGCGUUGGCAACAAGCCUGCUCAACGCCCGACGGCCUCGCACGGCCCUAGCACGUGGACCAGGAAGAUGGACGGAUGUGUGCGUGUGUGUGCGUGUGCGUGUGCGCGCGCCGAGUCCGCGUGGGACGAGUGUAUACAUACAGCACUCGUUCCUCUCGCCGAGAUCCUCGCAGUGUCUCUAUGGCGGCUCUGACGUCAGGACCCGUCACCGGACCAGAGCCACUGACGCCUCACUGGAGCAGCAGGCCCCGACAGACGCACGGACAUUGGCUCAGAAUCAGCUCAGCCCACAGCCCAAGUCGCGGCUGCUCGUCUCGAUCCGGUCCGGCCAGCCGGCCAGCCGCCGGCAGCUCCUAGGAGUGACCUGGCCCAAGGUGAACACUCCGACUCCAGCAGGAGCAGGGGCCGGGUCGGUUAGGAGAGGUUUCUUUCUUCUGCUUUAGUGCACCUUACCCUACGGCCAAUUCAAGUACCAGGCCGAUAAGCACUAAAAAUCCUUAUACAUUUCUCUGCCGCGCAUGCUCCGCUUUCGCAUUUUUAAGGGUUGAAUGAAGAAAUUUGUGCCUAAAUUUAUAAGUGGAGCACGCACAGGGAUUCCUGCGCCACGAAUUAGAAAGUUCAUCAGAUUUUAGUGAGUGCUGAUCACUGUCGCAAUCCUCCCGAAUCCUUCCUCACCCAAGUGCUGUGCGCUGUGCAGAGCAAGGGGGGUGGGCCUGCCCGUGUGCCCCGUGCCGGUGGGGCACGUGGGUAGGGUAUACAGCAGAACACUCGAGUGUCUGAUCGAGAUAUUCGGGUACAGAGUACAGGAAUGAGAAGAGUGCAUCGCGCCACUCGUGGCUGCGGCUGUGGGUUAAUUGGGUAUGGUGUUCAUCCUGCUUCAUGUUGCAAAAGGAGGACAUCAAUAAAAUGGCCGUUUGUUUUGGAAUUGCUA